Molecule: ribosomal RNA, 228 nt
Filed under: uncultured bacterium
Lineage: Bacteria
Description: partial 16S ribosomal RNA
Rfam family: Bacterial small subunit ribosomal RNA
Source: RNAcentral
AGUAACGCGUGAGGAACCUGCCUCAAAGAGGGGGACAACAAGUUGGAAACGACUGCUAAUACCGCAUAAGCCCACAGCUCGGCAUCGAGCAGAGGGAAAAGGAGUGAUCCGCUUUGAGAUGGCCUCGCGUCCGAUUAGCUAGUUGGUGAGGUAAUGGCCCACCAAGGCGACGAUCGGUAGCCGGACUGAGAGGUUGAACGGCCACAUUGGGACUGAGACACGGCCCAG